UUUGUCUAAAGGAAAACAUCUGCAUGAAAAUGCUUUGGACUUACCAAUAUUAAGAAGUUUGCGGAGAUGACCCAUUAGAGGGUGGUUGCCCUGUCCACAGAAUCGCCCCGCAAAGUCAUCCAAAUCAAGGGCCCAGACAAAGGCACCUCCGAACUUCUGCUCCUGCAGGGAACUUUCUGGUCGUCAAUCCAUUGAAUGGUAGUGCCUUUCAGGAAGGUGCAGAUCUACCAUAGACAUCAUCAGGUUUGUGUAGCUUAGUAAUGUGUAUGUUUCACACAGUCUAUUAAAUGCCAAUGUAAUUGAGACAACACAUCAUAUUGUAAUGGCUUUACUCCUUAUCUGAAAUGUACCUCAUAGUGGGACCAGAAUCCAGCUUCACGUGUGAAUGGUCCGGCUGAUGCAGGGCCAUUAGCUGGGGCUCCAACGCCAGUGUCUGAUGAUGUCAGACGGAAGUGUUAAAGUAGAUGAGGUCACCAAAGUCCUCGGAGCCACGGAAGAGUGGGCUGUUAUGUCCAGUGAACUGCUCCCAAGUCCCAUGGAAGUCAUAGGUCAUCACAUUUAUGAAUUCCAGGUACCUAGAGAUAGGGGAAAUAGUCAUUGAAAGACCUUUGUUAAACUCCCAGUUUUCUCUCUCAAGAGGUAUUCAUGACCGCACACUCACUUGGCAAUCUCAGCAAUCUCAUAUCCAGCAUCGAUGGUUCCCUUUCCAGCAGACACUGCAGCAGUCACCAUGAGCUGAGGAUUGCCAGUGGCCUUGGCCUCAGCUGCGUAGGCUUCAAAGAGUUCCUACAAAUACAGACCAAAGAAGAAGUCAACAUGAUGUUAACCGUAGAACAGUAGCUGCGAAUUGCAGCUAGAAACCGAGAAAUCUGUACCUACUUUGCAGAGCAGAGUGAACAGCUGUUUGUCCUGUGGGGGACUUCCACGAGCACCAGGGUACUCCCAGUCCAGAUCCAGACCAUCAAAUCCAUGAGUCCUCAGGAAUUUGAUAGAAGACUGGAUGAACGUCUGUCUGUUAGCUGGAGAGGACACCAUGAUGGAGAACCUGCAGGGAAGAUUGAGCUCUGUUAUCCUACUUGGUACGAUCAGAAAGUAGGCUAACAAAGGCGGCCUUUAGCAACCCUUAGCUUUAUGGCAACAACUGACUGAAUUUUGAUUGGAAAUAUGUUUUAUCAUUACUACUUUUAUGUUUUUACAUAUGGGGUUUAUAACUUGCAAACCACACUAUCUGGUUAGCUAUCUAUUGUUGAUUUUUUUCUAAACACUCAGUAAUGCAAGUAUAAACUAGUAUUAAGUAGUGUAGUGCUGUAAGUCAAAGAUCAGAUCAGCUAAAUCUGCCUACUGGUCAGUUAGCUAUACAAAAAACUAUGUACAUUUAUAUAGGCUAUAUUUUGCCUUCAGUUAAGACUCCAUUGGACUUUCAGGAUGUUUUAAGAAUGUAGUGGUCAGAUCAUUGGUAACAUAACUCCAAGCAAUCUGUAUUUGCCUUACCAACUGACUUUAAUUCCCUCACACUCACAGAAUUAUUUAAUUAUGUUUAACAGAUUUCAAAAUUAUUAGUUCACACAGGUUCUCUAGGUUUAUCACAAGAGCAGGCAACAGCAGAGGAAACUGUCACAAUUUUUCAAGGUUCAAGUAUAUAUUUAGAAAAAACUGACUGCACCAAGGACAGGGGUUUAAUUUAUUGUUUGCACAUGGCAAAAAAAUCAUUUUACUUAUUUUGGUUUUAUUGUAAUAAACUCACUAACUCAUAAACACUUUAAAAAUCAACUAAAAUCUUUACACUAAACAAAAAAAGGCAGUUUCUGUUAUUUUGUCUCUUUUACAGGAUUUAUGUCAUUAACUGGGGAAGUUGUGUGGUGAUAUGUUUUACUUAUUUUGUGUAUCCCUGCAUUGCCUUGUCCAAUGUAUGCAAAUUAGCGCAUUUAAUUAGUUAACGCCUAUUUUGCAUAUCAAUUUGGUGCUUGUGGUGAUGUCAUUGUUCUGUAAAGGGAACUAUAAUUUGACUAUAGUGUGACACGGACUGUUUUCUGCGACGCACAAGUUCAAAUAAACGUUCACAUGGAAUGCACAAAGUUCUCUGU
Long non-coding RNA from Perca flavescens (yellow perch), 2084 nucleotides. RefSeq lists it as uncharacterized. NCBI's taxonomy places the organism in Eukaryota, Metazoa, Chordata, Actinopteri, Perciformes, Percidae. The record is from RefSeq and is a predicted model, not a curated record. The transcript has 3 exons.